This 253-nucleotide ribosomal RNA is filed under the name uncultured bacterium. RNAcentral describes it as "partial 16S ribosomal RNA". It matches the Rfam family "Bacterial small subunit ribosomal RNA", at positions 524 to 776 of the family's 1533-position model. The record is from RNAcentral.
UACGUAGGGUCCGAGCGUUGUCCGGAAUUAUUGGACGUAAAGGGCUCGUAGGCGGUUUGUUGCGUCGGGAGUGAAAUCCUCCAGCUUAACUGGAGGCUUGCUUUCGAUACGGGCAGACUUGAGGUAUUCAGGGGAGAAUGGAAUUCCUGGUGUAGCGGUGAAAUGCGCAGAUAUCAGGAGGAACACCGGUGGCGAAGGCGGCUAUCUGGACCGUAACUGACGCUGAGGCGCGAAAGCGUGGGGAGCAAACAGG